GCAAACUUGGUCAUUUAGAGGAAGUAAAAGUCGUAACAAGGUUUCCGUAGGUGAACCUGCGGAAGGAUCAUUAACAGAUUUUCAAUAAUCCAUAUUCACCUUGUGUGCAAUUUUGCAUAAAAAAUUAAUAAUAUCUUUUUGGAAAGAUUAUUUUUUAUAAUAAUAAUCUUUCCAAAGAAGUUAUUAUAAUCAAUCCAUUUUUUCUUUUCUUUAUCAUGUCUAAACUAUAUAUAUCUAAAAUAAAGAAAUAACUUUCAACAACGGAUCUCUUGGCUCUCGCAUCGAUGAAGAACGCAGC
This 298-nucleotide unclassified non-coding RNA is filed under the name uncultured fungus. RNAcentral describes it as "partial contains small subunit ribosomal RNA, internal transcribed spacer 1, and 5.8S ribosomal RNA". The stretch from base 1 to 73 matches the Rfam family "Eukaryotic small subunit ribosomal RNA", at positions 1759 to 1831 of the family's 1831-position model. The record is from RNAcentral. Lineage: Eukaryota; Fungi.